GGCGGCGUAGCUCAGUUGGUAAGAGCGCUCGACUCAUAAUCGAGAGGUCGGCAGUUCAAGUCUGCCCGCCGCUACCA
RNAcentral lists this transfer RNA (77 nucleotides) under Acidimicrobiia bacterium. Its description in RNAcentral is "tRNA-Met". It matches the Rfam family "tRNA". Rfam says of the family: Transfer RNA (tRNA) molecules are approximately 80 nucleotides in length. The record is from RNAcentral. Lineage: Bacteria; Bacillati; Actinomycetota; Acidimicrobiia.